This 87-nucleotide transfer RNA is filed under the name Gammaproteobacteria bacterium. RNAcentral's name for it is "tRNA-Leu". It matches the Rfam family "tRNA". Rfam says of the family: Transfer RNA (tRNA) molecules are approximately 80 nucleotides in length. Their secondary structure includes four short double-helical elements and three loops (D, anti-codon, and T loops). Further hydrogen bonds mediate the characteristic L-shaped molecular structure. tRNAs have two regions of fundamental functional importance: the anti-codon, which is responsible for specific mRNA codon recognition, and the 3' end, to which the tRNAs corresponding amino acid is attached (by aminoacyl-tRNA synthetases). tRNAs cope with the degeneracy of the genetic code in two manners: having more than one tRNA (with a specific anti-codon) for a particular amino acid; and 'wobble' base-pairing, i.e. permitting non-standard base-pairing at the 3rd anti-codon position. The record is from RNAcentral. Lineage: Bacteria; Pseudomonadati; Pseudomonadota; Gammaproteobacteria.
GCCGAGGUGGCGGAACUGGUAGACGCAGUGGACUCAAAAUCCACCGGUGGCAACACCUUGCGGGUUCGAGUCCCGCCCUCGGUACCA